AUGCUCGCUUCAGCAGCACAUAUACUAAAAUUGGAACGAUACAGAGAAGAUUAGCAUGGCCCCUGUGCAAGGAUGACAAUCAAAUUCGUGAAGCGUUCCCUAUUUUU
RNAcentral lists this small nuclear RNA (107 nucleotides) under Cervus hanglu yarkandensis (Yarkand deer). The record is from RNAcentral. Lineage: Eukaryota; Metazoa; Chordata; Mammalia; Artiodactyla; Cervidae.